Molecule: microRNA precursor, 92 nt
Filed under: Canis lupus dingo (dingo)
Lineage: Eukaryota; Metazoa; Chordata; Mammalia; Carnivora; Canidae
Description: mir-8799 microRNA precursor family
Rfam family: mir-8799 microRNA precursor family
Source: Rfam by way of RNAcentral
GAGAGCAGUGCAGGAUCCUGGGCUGUGUCUGCCGGCGCGCUGGGAUCUGGGGCGUGCGCCGCUGGAAUCACGCUCCCGGAGCUGCGGCUCCC